RNAcentral lists this ribosomal RNA (488 nucleotides) under uncultured bacterium. Its description in RNAcentral is "partial 16S ribosomal RNA". It matches the Rfam family "Bacterial small subunit ribosomal RNA", at positions 28 to 523 of the family's 1533-position model. The record is from RNAcentral.
GACGAACGCUGGCGGCGUGCUUAACACAUGCAAGUCGAACGCUGAAGCUUGGUGCUUGCACUGGGUGGAUGAGUGGCGAACGGGUGAGUAAUACGUGAGUAACCUGCCCUUGACUCUGGGAUAAGCCUGGGAAACUGGGUCUAAUACUGGAUACGACAUGUCACCGCAUGGUGGUGUGUGGAAAGGGUUUUACUGGUUUUGGAUGGGCUCACGGCCUGUCAGCUUGUUGGUGGGGUAAUGGCUCACCAAGGCGACGACGGGUAGCCGGCCUGAGAGGGUAAACGGCCACACUGGGGCUGAGACACGGCCCAGACUCCUACGGGAGGCAGCAGUGGGGAAUAUUGCACAAUGGGCGGAAGCCUGAUGCAGCGACGCCGCGUGAGGGAUGACGGCCUUCGGGUUGUAAACCUCUUUCAGCACGGAAGAAGCGAAAGUGACGGUACGUGCAGAAGAAGCGCCGGCUAACUACGUGCCAGCCGCCGCGGUAA